This 253-nucleotide ribosomal RNA is filed under the name uncultured bacterium. RNAcentral's name for it is "partial 16S ribosomal RNA". It matches the Rfam family "Bacterial small subunit ribosomal RNA", at positions 524 to 776 of the family's 1533-position model. The record is from RNAcentral.
UACGUAGGGUGCAAGCGUUGUCCGGAAUUAUUGGGCGUAAAGAGCUCGUAGGCGGUGUGUCACGUCGGCCGUGAAAACCCGCGGCUUAACCGCGGGCCUGCAGCCGAUACGGGCAGGCUAGAGUUCGGUAGGGGAGACUGGAAUUCCUGGUGUAGCGGUGAAAUGCGCAGAUAUCAGGAGGAACACCGGUGGCGAAGGCGGGUCUCUGGGCCGAUACUGACGCUGAGGAGCGAAGGCGUGGGGAGCGAACAGG